RNAcentral lists this small RNA (95 nucleotides) under Escherichia coli. Its description in RNAcentral is "partial RtT sRNA". It matches the Rfam family "RtT RNA", at positions 38 to 130 of the family's 130-position model. From Rfam's summary of the family: This family represents a bacterial cis-regulatory element known as RtT RNA. The exact function of RtT is unknown although it is thought that it may be involved in changing the cellular response in relation to amino acid starvation. Lineage: Bacteria; Pseudomonadati; Pseudomonadota; Gammaproteobacteria; Enterobacterales; Enterobacteriaceae. The record is from RNAcentral.
AAGGUUCGACUCGAGCGCCAAUGAGAAAGCGUUGCCGCAGGCAACGACCCGAAGGGCGAAGCGCGCAGCGCUGAGUAAUCCUUCCCCCACCACCA